GGCAUGUUCUGUCAAACCCUCCUUUCCUGUCGGGGAGUAGCAGCCAUGAUGGUAUGUCAUUCCAGUUCUAUAACUUCUUGGCUAUUUUUGGUUCAUCCUCUUUUUUUGGUUGUGAUUGCUUCCAACGGUCUUAUUUAUUUUUUAAGAUUCAGUGUUGUUCAGUGAAAAACUACGGAGUCUGGAGCCAGCUGCCAGGGUUGAAUCCAGCUCUGCACUUAACGAGCUGAGCGCCUUGGGCAAGUUGCUUCACCUCUCUGUGCCCCCUAGUUUCCUCAUCUGUUAAAUGGGGAUGCUGAUGGUACCUGCCUCUCAGGAAGGAGUAUUGCCAGGGGUAUUGUUUCAAAACCUCCACAAAUACUCCGUGAAGGCUCAUGGAUCCUGUGAGAAAAGAACUAUUAUUGCCAUCAAGGCUGUGUUCCAGCUGAGGAAACCUGGGCCUGGUUUCUUACUGGAGAAACUUAGCAACUUAGCAACGUCACGUAGCUGGUAAGUGCCAGAGCCUGAGUUUAAACCCACGGAAGCUAGGAAAAAGAAAAAGGAGAAGAAGAAAAAGAAAAGCCCACGGAAGCUGGCUCCGGAGGUCAUGCCCUUUGCCACGGCAUUAUUCUUCGCAGGCAGCACUCCCGUGAGCAUUCAGCUUCCAGAGUAAGCCUUUGCCAUUUUUAUUCCCAAUUCGGGGACAGAUGGUGGCACCAGACCCAGGAGGGCAGAGCCUCUGAGCUCCGCAGCAAACAGUGCCCCCAGGCCAAAGCGACAAGACCACAGCUCUCCCUGGGCAAACCCGGUUAAGCAGACGUAGGAUGGUUUCCUUCCAAGAACGUCUCUCCUGUCCACGUCCUUGUCAGUUUUCCCAUCAGGAGAAUGGGCAUGUGUAAUAUGCACCCGUGGCAAUAGCCGCAAGAACUAAUUAGCGCCUGAAAUGUGUGUCAAGAUCCCCGGCGAGAGGUGCUGUAAUAGGGGCAAAGGAUUCUCGCAUGAGUUCCAGUUUUGCCUCCUGUGGCCCGGUCCUCCCUGGGCGGGAGGUGGUGCCCCGUCUUGUUGAGAUCUGAUCUCUAAAUGCAACUGUGUGUUUUCUUUCAUCCAAAUGACUGUGCUCAUCUCGGGAGCAGCCUUUAAUUUUCUUCUUGGAACCGAGGACCAUCCUUACUUACAGCAACAAAAGGUCCCUGGGACGGUGAGGUAAGAUUUGAAUUAAGAUACCUUGGCAUCCUUCACUCCCCGGCAAUUAACGGGCAGCAGGUUUUCAGCAGCACUCACUCUCCUGAGAGCGCCCUUUGUCUCAGGACUGCCUGUCUGUCCUGUUGUCCGUCGUCCCGAUGCAGCAGCCCCCCGGCGGCCGGCUGUCUGCAAGGUGCCAGGCAGGUGCACGGCGUGGCGGGGACCUCCGAGGGCCCAGCCUGAUGGGGAAGCCGUGUGGCUCUCAGACCCCCGUCUGCGUGGCGAACAGCACAUACGGCCGGGCCCCAGUGACUCCGAGGGGCUGGCUGUCCAGGCGGCCCGUUCUCCCCGUGUCUUCCUCACCCUCACCUGCCUCUGGGCCACCGUUGUUCAUUAUUAGCAUCCCUCUCGGAGAAGAGAGAGGAGACAAGAGCCAACCUUUGCUUGUCCGUUUGGCUCCUCGUCAGCGACUCUGUCCUUGACCCGAGCGGGUUCAUUUGUGAAAGGCGUUAAACGGCAGAGCUGACGGAGGGAUGGCAACUCUGUGCAAAGCGGGGACGGUUCUGGAAGGAGAUUCAGACAUUCCACACGGGAAGCUAGCGCGGUCCGUUCGCUCUGUGGCGUCUACGGAGACCUGCUGAAGGAACGGAACCUGCCGGUGUGCAGGAGGGCCGAACCUCCUGGGAAGGGCUGCGUCCCAGCCACCCCACCGAGGCUGGCCGCCAUCAGGGCCCGGUCGGGGCCUCGGCGUAGUAAGGGAAGUACUUACUAACAACGGGUGGGGAUGGGCUGGAAGGAAAACGUGAUAGGACUCGUUCAGCCUUGUCCAGGCCACACCCAGUGUAGUCAACGACUUCUGAACCCGGAGAACGUAAAGGAACACAGUGGAGCUUGGACCGAGGGCUUUGAAAUAAAAAUGUCAACUCGCUGCUGCGAGUGUGGCCCAAUCCCGUCCUCUUCCAGAAGAGAAAUGCCCCACGUGGCCAGGCUGGUCCUGAAAAGGAGCCCCGUCCUACAGACACCGGACUGUUCUACUGAAGGAACAGCCUGCCGGUCUGAUCUGCUUCCUCCCCUUGAAACAGAGGAACCGGGACUGGCUGACCCGCUAGAGCUGUGUCAGCAGGAAUCAGAGGGAAUCCGUUUUCUGCCAGGAUGGAAUUGAACCUCCACAGGCAUGCGCUGUGGCGGCAUCUAAAAAUACGUUUUCUAGGCGCCUGAAAUGUAAACGCAGGUAAAAUAAAUAAAAGCCAAUUAACAAUA
Long non-coding RNA from Herpailurus yagouaroundi (jaguarundi), 2418 nucleotides. RefSeq lists it as uncharacterized. The record is from RefSeq and is a predicted model, not a curated record. The transcript has 3 exons. NCBI's taxonomy places the organism in Eukaryota, Metazoa, Chordata, Mammalia, Carnivora, Felidae.